Non-coding RNA from Ictidomys tridecemlineatus (thirteen-lined ground squirrel), 678 nucleotides. Lineage: Eukaryota; Metazoa; Chordata; Mammalia; Rodentia; Sciuridae. The record is from RefSeq and is a predicted model, not a curated record.
GCCAAUAGACCCCCACUGCGCUCAGGCAGGUGACUCUGGUGGCCCUUGGCUGGGACCCUGCACAAAGUCUCACAACUGAACAAGACUCGGUUUGUUCAGCCCAUUUCAUUGAUGCCUCUGGAGCCACAGCAAUGUGGUGAGCAGAGCACAAAGAUAACCAGGCGUACAAGGAGACAAGACCCCAUGAGCAAGAAUCGGCACAAACAAAAGACAACAGAGAUUGACCAUGAAGAGUUCCGAUACAGGAAUUAUCAGACAUUAUGGCCUUUGAAAGGUGUUUAAAAAAAACAUAAGAAUCACAGGCUUACAGAUCCUCGUGGUCCAGCUGAUCCUAAAAUUCACAUGGAGAUGGAAGGAACCCCUAAUAGCCAAAAGAAUCAGGAAAAGAACAAAUUUGGAGGCUCAUAGCUCCUGAUUCCAAGAUAUAUAGGCAGAUAGAUAGAUUAUCUUCAUUUUACUUAUUUGUUUUUCUAUGGUGCUGAGGAUGGAACCCAGUGACUCACACAUGAGAGGCAAGUGCUCUGCCACUGAGCUACCGCCCCAGCCCCAUGAUUCCAAGACUUAAUGCAAAGCUACAAUAAUCAAGACUGUGCCGGACCAACCUUUAGACAGACAAAUAGACCAAAAGAAUGUAACUUAGAGUUCAGGAAUAAACCCACGUGUUUGUGCUCAUUUGAA